AGCCACAGACAAAGCAUCGAUCGAAUGAAUUGGGGCAACGAUUACAUUGAAGAUCUCCUCGAAUCAGGAAAAAGAAAAGGCUAAGGUGUCUUAACAAAAAAAGAAAAUGAAAGCUAUGCAGGAAUGGGAACACAAAAUGUACCGCAAAUGGUCAUCAAUUUAUGGGUUUGCGAUAUAAUCAAAGGU
Molecule: non-coding RNA, 186 nt
Organism: Camellia sinensis
Lineage: Eukaryota; Viridiplantae; Streptophyta; Magnoliopsida; Ericales; Theaceae
Source: RefSeq, a predicted model, not a curated record